Molecule: non-coding RNA, 811 nt
Organism: Equus caballus (horse)
Lineage: Eukaryota; Metazoa; Chordata; Mammalia; Perissodactyla; Equidae
Source: RefSeq, a predicted model, not a curated record
UGCAUUUUUAACAAGUUCCCAAAUGAUACUGCUGCUGUUGGUCUGGGGAGCAGACUUGGAGAACCACUGCUUUGCAUAUUUAACCUGUUACUGAAGCCUUCCUCCACUUCCUGCUUUAACUGGAAUCUCACCAUCCACUGCCCUUGCAAGUUAAUUCCUGUCUCUUCUUCACUCCAGGUUUCUGUGUCUUCCGUUUCUGGCCUAGGUUCCAUGGUCCACCACUUCAGCCUGUCAUCUCCCUUGACCUCUGGUCCUUUAGUGCAGCUUACCCAGAAGAACCUCAAAGCAAACUCUUCCUCCUCUGCCCCACUUCCCAGACUGCUGAGCCCAUAAAGGUAGUAAAGAGGAAGUCAGAUUCCGAGCUUGAGAAAGAGUUGAUGUGCUGUUCGUGGUGGCUUUAUUUUAAAAUGAAGGGGCCAUAUGGCAAGGAAUUUGGCAGCUUCUCAGAGCUGAGAGCAAUCCCUCACCGACAGCCAGCAAGAAAAUGGGCACCUCAGUCCUACACUUGCAAGGAACUCAAUUCUGCUAAGAGUCGCAAUGACCCUGGACGUGCAUUCUUCUCUAGAGCCUUCAGGAAUGCACACUGAUUGGAAGUAAAGAACAUAGGAUACUACAACCCACCACCCCUGGUCAUAUCCAUCAGUGGAUCUAUGUGCCUGGUCUCCAUUUAUAAAAAAUGGGUAAGGCACAGUCUCUGUCCCCAGGGUAGUUCCUGUUUAUGGGGAAUCCUUCAUCUACUUAUUUAUUAAUGUCCUCAAUUCCACCAUCCUUUCUCCCUUACCCAUAGAUCCUUGGAGAAUACAAGACUGAA